Non-coding RNA from Pangasianodon gigas (Mekong giant catfish), 72 nucleotides. NCBI's taxonomy places the organism in Eukaryota, Metazoa, Chordata, Actinopteri, Siluriformes, Pangasiidae. The record is from the annotation of a GenBank genome assembly.
UCCCUGGAGGACUAGUGGUUAGGCCACGGCGCUCUCUUCUCUGCGGCCUGGGUUCGAUUUCCGGCCAGGGAA